This 2055-nucleotide small RNA is filed under the name Pan troglodytes (chimpanzee). RNAcentral's name for it is "retained intron". The record is from RNAcentral. Lineage: Eukaryota; Metazoa; Chordata; Mammalia; Primates; Hominidae.
GAACACCAUGUGGCACAUCGAGAUCCAGGAGGGGCGACUCGAGGCCUUCCGGACAGCUGACCGUGAGGAGGUGGAGGCCACGGGGCGGCGGCUCCAGGUGCGCGCAGCCGAGCAGCUCUGCAGAGAGCAGGAGGCCCUGGGGAAGGUGGAGCGGAACCGGCUGCUGAGGAUCAGGAAGUCCCUGCACACCCAGAAGGAGCUCGGGCUCAGGCACCAGAAGCUGCUGGAGGACGCCCGGAAGAACCACAAGGUUGCCGUGCGGUUCCUGAAGGCCUCCCUGGGAAGAAUCCGAGAGCAAGAGAAGAAGGAGGAGAUGGAGUGCCACGAGUACAUGAGGCGACGCAUGGAUGCGGUGGUGGCGCUGAAGGGCAGCAUCUCCGCGAACCGGGACACACUGCGGAAGUUCCAAGCAUGGGACCGUGCCAAGGCAGAGCUGGCGGAGCAGAGGGUCCAGGCUGAGAAGAAGGCGAUUCUGGCCCAGGGCAGGGAUGCGUUCAGGCACCUUGUCCACCAGCGCCGGCACCAGGAGCUGGAGGCCCAGAAGAGGGCCUUUGAGGAGGAGCAGAAGCUCAGAAAGCAGGAGAUCGUCAGUCGGAUUCUGAAAGAGGAGGCUGAGGAGGAAAAGAGGAAGAAACAGCAUCCCCCCACCAGUGCCAGGCACCGGCCGACCCUGAGGGACAAGACCUGGAACUACAUUUCUGACUUUUGCAAGGAGAAGACCACAGUCCCAACCAACACGUCCACACUGGACUACGAGGCUGCUGCAGGCCCCGGGCCCUCUCGGUUGCUGCAAGUCGUUUCCAGUGAGCUUAUCCAGGGGGACCCCGGGGCCAGCUCAGAGGAGGAAACGUUAGCUGAGCCCGAGAUCUCUGGGCUUUGGAAUGAAGACUACAAGCCAUACCAGGUGCCCAAGGAGGACGUGGACCGAAAGCCCGUGGGCGGGACAAAGAUGGACAAGGACAUCCUGGAGCGCACGGUGGAGCGGCUGCGGAGCAGGGUGGUCCACAAGCAGGUGGUGUGGGGGCGUGAGUUCCAAGGACGCCCCUUCAACAGCAAACCGGAGCUCCUGCACUUCCAGGACUUUGAUAUUGGCAAAGUGUACAAGAAAAAGAUCACGUUGGUCAACACCACCUACACGAUCAACUACUGCAAGCUGGUGGGCGUGGAGGGGCACCUCCGGGACUUCAUCCACGUCGACUUUGACCCCCCUGGCCCCCUGUCAGCCGGAAUGUCCUGUGAAGUGCUUGUCACCUUCAAGCCGAUGAUAAACAAGGAUCUAGAAGGAAAUAUCUCAUUUUUGGCUCAGACGGGCGAGUUUUCAGUUCCACUGAAAUGUUCAACAAAGAAAUGUUCGCUGUCCCUCGACAAGGAGCUCAUUGACUUCGGCAGCUACGUGGUAGGAGAGACCACGUCUCGGACCAUCACGCUGACCAACGUUGGGGGCUUGGGCACGACUUUCAAGUUCCUGCCAGCUUCAGAGCCCUGUGAGAUGGACGACUCCCAGUCUGCCCUGAAAUUAAGCAGUCUCCUGACCUACGAAGAUAAAAGCUUGUAUGACAAAGCCGCCACCAGCUUCUCUGAGCAGCAGCUAGAGGGCACGGAGUCCUCCCAGGCGGACAUGCAGAGCCGGAAGGAGCUGGAGAAGCUGGACAAGGAGCAGGAGGAGGAGCAGCCCGCAGUGUUGUUUUUGGAGUGGACGAAAAUGUACAUUCACGUUGACGCUAACCGAAGACUUGAAGGCACCUCCAGCAUUGGCCCAGCAGGCCCAGCACGGGCGGGGCCGCACGGGGCAGGGAAGAGGCUCUGAGGUGCCCCCUGGAGGGGCCGGGCUGCGGGGGGCUUCUGUCUAGCUCUGCAGCUGUGGCUGUUGUUAGAUGCGCACCAGCGGGGAGAGGUGCCGAGAAACGGGCGGGCCCUGCCCUCCCCAUGCCUCCUGCCCUGCAGCCCGCCGCCAUCGGGAAUCGCUUGCGUCUCCUCCUUGCUUCUCUUGAUCGUUUUCCCACAUACGCAUCGAGAUCCAGAAACCUCCGUCCUCCUCCUGUCUGUCUUCGCGUG